GACGGAAGGUGCAAGCGUUGCUCGGAAUCACUGGGCGUAAGGGUGCGUAGGUGGAUUAGUAAGUCAGUGGUGAAAUCUCCGGGCUUAACCCGGAAACUGCCAUUGAUACUAUUAGUCUUGAAUACCGUGGAGGUCAGCGGAAUAUGUCAUGUAGCGGUGAAAUGCUUAGAUAUGACAUAGAACACCAAUUGCGAAGGCAGCUGGCUACACGAGCAUUGACACUCAGGCACGAAAGCGUGGGGAUCAAACAGG
Molecule: ribosomal RNA, 252 nt
Filed under: uncultured bacterium
Lineage: Bacteria
Description: partial 16S ribosomal RNA
Rfam family: Bacterial small subunit ribosomal RNA
Source: RNAcentral